AAAUUGAAGAGUUUGAUCAUGGCUCAGAUUGAACGCUGGCGGCAGGCCUAACACAUGCAAGUCGAACGGUAACAGGAAGCAGCUUGCUGCUUUGCUGACGAGUGGCGGACGGGUGAGUAAUGUCUGGGAAACUGCCUGAUGGAGGGGGAUAACUACUGGAAACGGUGGCUAAUACCGCAUAACGUCGCAAGACCAAAGAGGGGGACCUUCGGGCCUCUUGCCAUCAGAU
This 229-nucleotide ribosomal RNA is filed under the name Salmonella enterica subsp. enterica serovar Infantis. RNAcentral describes it as "partial 16S ribosomal RNA". It matches the Rfam family "Bacterial small subunit ribosomal RNA", at positions 1 to 226 of the family's 1533-position model. The record is from RNAcentral. Lineage: Bacteria; Pseudomonadati; Pseudomonadota; Gammaproteobacteria; Enterobacterales; Enterobacteriaceae. RNAcentral also lists the same sequence under 9 other names.